ACAGUUGGCAGCUGUGUGAAGAUGGGAAAUGGAGGAGGCAGGGUAGGCAGUGGGUGACGCAGCCACAGCUUGGGUUCUCUGCAGCCAUGGCACAGAAGAUAGGAACACCCGUGGGGGAUGCGGCCACCAUGGUGUCUUCCCACACAAGGAGUGCCAAGUGCUUUUCUCACGCUUUUCUGGAUUGUUCCAUGGUGGAUGAGUCAGCAGGAGUGAGAUGGAGCCGCAGAGUGGAGGGGUAUCUGGCAAGGCCCGGAGGGAGGAUCCCCUGUCCCCAACAUUUCAAUGAUAUCAGGUUCCUUAGAUCCUGGGAUGAGGAGGUUGACCAGAAGGUGGGCUUGGGAAGGCAGCCUGGGGUCCAAAUCCUCCUGGCUCUUCAGCUUGGCAGAGACAGCAAAGACAAAUAUUCAAGAAAAAAAAAAAAACCCUGAGGUGCUACUGACUUCGUGUAUGUCUUAGCUGUAGACAGAAUUGGGAUUUCCUAAUAUGGGUUUGUUCCAGCACAGCCCCUCCGAAAGAUUUUCAUCAGCAAAACACACAUUGGAGGAGCAGCUGCUGUGCAGUUGUCUCCUUUAAACCAUUUUCUCACUUCAUUGCUAAUUUUCACAGCACCUUUCUUCUAACAGUUCUACCUUUUUGAUCUGCAAACAACCUGGGAUUAUUUCUUUCCCUCUUGGUAAAUAAAAG
This 684-nucleotide long non-coding RNA is filed under the name Rhinopithecus bieti (black snub-nosed monkey). RNAcentral's name for it is "lncRNA (ENSRBIG00000045469.1)". The record is from RNAcentral. Lineage: Eukaryota; Metazoa; Chordata; Mammalia; Primates; Cercopithecidae.